RNAcentral lists this ribosomal RNA (264 nucleotides) under Acinetobacter johnsonii. Its description in RNAcentral is "partial 23S ribosomal RNA". It matches the Rfam family "Bacterial large subunit ribosomal RNA", at positions 1421 to 1684 of the family's 2925-position model. Lineage: Bacteria; Pseudomonadati; Pseudomonadota; Gammaproteobacteria; Moraxellales; Moraxellaceae. The record is from RNAcentral.
GGAAAUUGGUUAAUAUUCCAAUACUUCUAUGUAAUGCGAUGAGAGGACGGAGAAGGUUAAGUCAGCCUGGCGUUGGUUGUCCAGGUGGAAGGUUGUAGGCAUGUAUCUUAGGCAAAUCCGGGGUACUCUAUGCUGAGAGCUGAUAGCAAGCUGUACUUGUACAGUGAAGUGGCUGAUACCAUGCUUCCAGGAAAAGUCUCUAAGCUUCAGUUACAUAGGAAUCGUACCCGAAACCGACACAGGUGGUCAGGUCGAGUAGACCAA